GGCAUUUCAGAGACUCGAAAUUUAAAAAUUUCCUCGGCCCUCCGGCCCUCGCUUUCUGCCCCCAAUAAACAAAAGCUCCCUACCGCACUGCUUCUGUAAUAUGUCUGUGCGUAAAAUAUGCAUAUUUUGGUUUGUAAAUUGCGUCUUCAUUUUCCGAAUAGCAAUUAACACGUCAUUCGGAAAUUUUUGGCCUACACCCCCCAACUAUACAUGCUAGCUACGGCCCUGGAUACAGACUUGCCGACUGGAACUUCUCCAGGUCCCCCCGCUAAUUAUGUCCUCUCCAGUUACACAUCCUUAAAAAAGGCCCUGAACCAAAUGUUAUACCUCAUAGCAAUAUGUAUUAUUAAGAGCAAUGCAUGAAGCUAGAAAACUCAAC
Molecule: non-coding RNA, 379 nt
Organism: Paramuricea clavata
Lineage: Eukaryota; Metazoa; Cnidaria; Anthozoa; Malacalcyonacea; Plexauridae
Source: the annotation of a GenBank genome assembly